GAGUUUGAUCGUGGCUCAGAGCGAACGCUGGCGGCAGGCCUAACACAUGCAAGUCGAGCGCCCGUAGCAAUACGGGAGCGGCAGACGGGAGAGUAACACGUGGGAACGCGCCCUUCGGUUCGGAAUAACUCAGGGAAACUUGAGCUAAUACCGGAUACGCCCUUACGGGGAAAGAUUUAUUGCCGAAGGAACGGCCCGCGUCCGAUUAGCUUGUUGGUGAGGUAAUGGCUCACCAAGGCGACGAUCGGUAGCUGGUCUGAGAGGAUGACCAGCCUCACUGGGACUGAGACACGGCCCAGACUCCUACGGGAGGCAGCAGUGGGGGAAUAUUGGACAAUGGGCGCAAGCCUGAUCCAGCCAUGCCGCGUGGAUGAUGAAGGCCCUAGGGUUGUAAAGUCCUUUUAACGGGGAAGAUAAUGACGUACCCGUAGAAUAAGCCCGGCUAACUUCGUGCCAGCAGCCGCUGU
Molecule: ribosomal RNA, 467 nt
Filed under: uncultured bacterium
Lineage: Bacteria
Description: bacterial SSU rRNA
Rfam family: Bacterial small subunit ribosomal RNA
Source: RNAcentral